RNAcentral lists this ribosomal RNA (429 nucleotides) under Chloroflexota bacterium. RNAcentral's name for it is "Chloroflexi bacterium partial 16S ribosomal RNA". It matches the Rfam family "Bacterial small subunit ribosomal RNA", at positions 355 to 776 of the family's 1533-position model. Lineage: Bacteria; Bacillati; Chloroflexota. The record is from RNAcentral.
UGGGGAAUAUUGCACAAUGGGCGCAAGCCUGAUGCAGCCAUGCCGCGUGUAUGAAGAAGGCCUUCGGGUUGUAAAGUACUUUCAGCGGGGAGGAAGGGAGUAAAGUUAAUACCUUUGCUCAUUGACGUUACCCGCAGAAGAAGCACCGGCUAACUCCGUGCCAGCAGCCGCGGUAAUACGGAGGGUGCAAGCAUUAAUCGGAAUUACUGGGCGUAAAGCGCACGCAGGCGGUUUGUUAAGUCAGAUGUGAAAUCCCCGGGCUCAACCUGGGAACUGCAUCUGAUACUGGCAAGCUUGAGUCUCGUAGAGGGGGGUAGAAUUCCAGGUGUAGCGGUGAAAUGCGUAGAGAUCUGGAGGAAUACCGGUGGCGAAGGCGGCCCCCUGGACGAAGACUGACGCUCAGGUGCGAAAGCGUGGGGAGCAAACAGG